This 517-nucleotide long non-coding RNA is filed under the name Equus asinus (donkey). RNAcentral describes it as "lncRNA (ENSEASG00005035280.1)". The record is from RNAcentral. Lineage: Eukaryota; Metazoa; Chordata; Mammalia; Perissodactyla; Equidae.
GCCACGUGGUCGGCUCUGCCUGCUGCUCCCGGCGCCGUGGAACAGUUGCCGGUAACCCGCUGCGUUGUGUACACGUAUGGCCUUACAAAUCUCAGAAUACUGAGAUCUCUGUUUUCCGACUGGUGCACGAGAUGGGGUAUGUUGGGGCAGACAGCUCUACAUUUAGCAUGGUGGCGGAGUGUUUGGAAUCCAUAGUACUGCUGAUCAUGUGGUUUUGGACUGGUGACCCAAUCUGUGUUUCAACAUCCUCACCUGUAAGAGGGAAACAAUACUUUCUACAUUACAGACUUGUGAGACUUCAACGACACAAUCAGAUGUCUGCCACAUAGUAAUACCUACAGCUAACAAUUAUUGAGCAUCUGCUCUGUGACAGGGCAAUUGGUGUGAUUCCAUUACCCAAAUUCCGUGCCCUCUUUGAAAUGAGACACGUCUAUCAAUCUGAAUCCUACGUGAGCGUAAUGAGCAGAGCACCCUGUCAGCCCACCUUGGAUAUGAUAGAAAUAAACUUUUAUUUUAA